CCCCGUGCGUAUAGCGCUGUGGAACCACCCGAUUCCAUUCCGAACUCGGUCGUGAAACGCAGUUGCGUCGAUGGUACUUGGUGAGUGAUCGCCCGGGAGAGUAGAGCAGCGCGGGGG
This 117-nucleotide ribosomal RNA is filed under the name Deinobacterium chartae. Lineage: Bacteria; Thermotogati; Deinococcota; Deinococci; Deinococcales; Deinococcaceae. The record is from RNAcentral.